GACGAACGCUGGCGGCGUGCUUAACACAUGCAAGUCGAACGGAAAGGCCCUGCUUUUGUGGGGUGCUCGAGUGGCGAACGGGUGAGUAACACGUGAGUAACCUGCCCUUGACUUUGGGAUAACCUCAGGAAACUGGGGCUAAUACCGGAUAGGAGCUCCUGCUGCAUGGUGGGGGUUGGAAAGUUUCGGCGGUUGGGGAUGGACUCGCGGCUUAUCAGCUUGUUGGUGGGGUAGUGGCUUACCAAGGCUUUGACGGGUAGCCGGCCUGAGAGGGUGACCGGCCACAUUGGGACUGAGGUACGGCCCAGACUCCUACGGGAGGCAGCAGUGGGGAAUAUUGCACAAUGGGCGGAAGCCUGAUGCAGCAACGCCGCGUGCGGGAUGACGGCCUUCGGGUUGUAAACCGCUUUCGCCUGUGACGAAGCGUGAGUGACGGUAAUGGGUAAAGAAGCACCGGCUAACUACGUG
This 468-nucleotide ribosomal RNA is filed under the name uncultured bacterium. Its description in RNAcentral is "partial 16S ribosomal RNA". It matches the Rfam family "Bacterial small subunit ribosomal RNA", at positions 28 to 507 of the family's 1533-position model. The record is from RNAcentral.